RNAcentral lists this long non-coding RNA (835 nucleotides) under Medicago truncatula (barrel medic). RNAcentral describes it as "long non-coding RNA (MTRU_LNC005094)". The record is from RNAcentral. Lineage: Eukaryota; Viridiplantae; Streptophyta; Magnoliopsida; Fabales; Fabaceae.
ACAACAAGCUUAAUACAUGAUGAUAUAUUAAAAAAUAACACUAGAUAAAAAAAAUUGGUACAUACUGAGAUAUUAGUGUAACAAAGAAAACGAAACCAUAAGACAAAUGAGAUAAAAGAUUUGUUUAUAUACAUUAAGCUUAUAUAAAAACUAGUUCGCACACAAAAGAUUGAUUUUUUUUUUUAAAGAUUGAAAGAUAGAUGCUUAUAGCAUUUUAUUAAUAAUAAGUUGUUCAAUACAAUGAGGUACAUUGUAAUGAGUAGUGGGACUAACUAAUAAUGUGUCAACCCCAUCAAGGUGUGAGCUACCUCACGUCCUAUUUAAAAGGUUUUCCGAUUGGUACACAAUGGCCUUUACGACACUUAAUAUUAUGUGGAGGCAUUCUUGGACAAUCUUUAUCUGUUAAACAAGGACGAAGAGUCAUACCAAAAGCAUUAGAAUCACAUACUAUUAAGAUAUAAAAUAUGGAAAGAAAUAGAAUCAUAAUAUAAACAAAUUUUAGAGUUUUAUCCAUAUUUUUCCUCUCUGCAUCGAAAAAAUAGAAAACAAUUUGUCAACUUUAUAGGGUAUAAAUUUCAUGCUAUCUUAUGAUUAAUUAAUAGUUUAAUCAUUUAUGAUCUUUUAAAACCUUAAUAAGAUUAUAAUAAUUAAUAAGUACUUGUUUAAUAUAUUAGGGUGUUGUUUUUGACCAUUUAGAACAUUUUAAAAGGUGGUAAUAUGAUAAAGUUGUUAAUAAGAAGAAUUGAAUAUUAAUUAACUAACUUAUCAUGCCUUUGUUAGCCUUUCGUGAUAUUAAAGAGAAACUUAUUUUAUUCGCACCUUGCUAAAGUUAUCU